This is a long non-coding RNA of Hibiscus syriacus, 850 nucleotides long. RefSeq lists it as uncharacterized. The transcript is spliced from 5 exons. The record is from RefSeq and is a predicted model, not a curated record. Lineage: Eukaryota; Viridiplantae; Streptophyta; Magnoliopsida; Malvales; Malvaceae.
AAUAUUUCUAUAUCGUCACUACUUAUCACUUAAAACUCAUCUAAUUCGGCGAACUUCCUCUAUUUAUACUGUCGACUAGUGACAGAGAGAGGACGAUGAGAAUUUAUGAAGAAGAGAAUAUGGACAGAUAAAAAUAGUGAGACAAAAAAGCAGAGAACAAAGAGAUUUACUUGGCGAUCAUCGAUGCUCAGAAUGGUAUUUUAAGAUCUAAACGGUGAAGGUUAAAGAUAAGAAGAAUCACAAUCGAUUUCAUCUAAGGACAUAGGAGAGAGGUUGAUAAGAGUGUUUUCGAAUGAUACUGCAAGUUUAGGUGAUUCCGAUGGCAGUGAUUAGUGGUAAACUAUUGCCUUCAUCGUCGGAGUGAUCGGAGUGGGUUCUUUCAAUCUCCACCUCAUUCGGCGACGUGCACUUGAAUAUGCUACUAGUCACUUUGUUAUGUCGGAGCGAGUGAUGUGAAGGCGAUGGAGUUGGGACUGAAAGGAAAAUGGUCGUUCGGGCACAUAGAUAUGGCUGUCGGAUAAUAGAUAUGGCUCUGGAAGAUCCGUUCAUGUCAAGAGACUGAUUGACCGAAGGAUAUAGAACUCUGGAGAUUUUGAACCGCAGAUUAGUUCAUCCGAAGAUUUCAACAGCCAGAAGAAAAACAACGGAAGUGCGGCUUGCGGAGGAAUCCGGAGAAGGAGCAUUCUAUUGCUACUCUCAACAAUGCCAUCGGGAGAGCUCUCGAUUGGUAUGAACUUCACAAAUUCUGGAUUUGUUUCUUUUAGUUUCAUAUUUUCCCCCAACCAAUGUGUUUUACAUUUAUGGACUUCUAAGAUGAACUUAUUUGUUCAUAGAUGUGAAAAACCAUCAU